Molecule: ribosomal RNA, 254 nt
Filed under: uncultured bacterium
Lineage: Bacteria
Description: partial 16S ribosomal RNA
Rfam family: Bacterial small subunit ribosomal RNA
Source: RNAcentral
CACGUAGGGUGCGAGCGUUGUCCGGAAUUAUUGGGCGUAAAGAGCUCGUAGGCGGUGUGUCGCGUCGGCCGUGAAAACCUGCAGCUUAACUGUGGGCUUGCGGUCGAUACGGGCAUCACUGGAGUUCGGCAGGGGAGACUGGAAUUCCUGGUGUAGCGGUGAAAUGCGCAGAUAUCAGGAGGAACACCGGUGGCGAAGGCGGCGCUCUGGGCCGGAACUGACGCUGAGGAGCGAAAGCGUGGGGAGCAAACAGG